This is a long non-coding RNA of Pongo abelii (Sumatran orangutan), 1705 nucleotides long. Lineage: Eukaryota; Metazoa; Chordata; Mammalia; Primates; Hominidae. The record is from Ensembl.
CCAGAUCAUAGGAGGGCAUUAUUUGGAGGAAACCGCUAUAACGUAAAAUCAGAUUUCAGAAGGAAAAUGCAGCAAGGACUGACUGUAGUCCUAUUUCAGACCCCUGGGCACUAGUGUCAACUCCUCCUUUGGCUCGUAACUCAGAAAGAACCAAAGGGCAGAUGAGGGACAGGGGCAGGAGGGAUCCUAGGACGGCCAGAGUAGGUGACGAUUACUUCCUUAGCUCCUCCUUCCAUUCUGAUCUCAGGGUUUUCACUCUUCAAACUCCCAAACACAUGACUUCUUCCCAGCAGCCCUUCCCGGCCUCUAGUUUGGUCUGGUAUGAAAUGGGACUGUUUAACAAGCAAGGCUCUUAGGGGACACUGUUGAGCCUGGUCCCAGAAUCUCUGUGAUCUCCACAGGGCCAGGGUUGCUACUUGCGCCCAGAAUCUAGUGGUUUUAGUCAGAUCCAUGGAACAGAACAGCUUUGUAAUACAUUGUCAAGUUACCUGAUUACAAACUCUCAUAAAAAGAUGUUGGAACUACCUUUUUACUCCCCAUACUUUGUAAGUAAUGCUUCCAGAUUAACCUGCAAAUCUUGUGGAGCCAAAGCCUCUCACAGUGCUCUGAUUUACCUCCCCAAAAAUGCCCCCAAACCUCCAUGCAAGUUUACAGCCAGUAGCUUGGUCUUUCUUAUUCUCUUGGAGCCCUAAACUUAAGCCUUUCAUUCCCCUUUGCUAAAGCAUCUCACCCCCAGGGCAGCCCCAGCACCCUGGCAUUGCGGGAGGUGCUGUGCUGCACAGCUCUGUUCCAUCAGGCCCUGUUGGCCUGUUACACAUUGACUCAGGGAGCCAGAGCGCCAAGUGGAGGUUGUACCUUUCAGCCCUUUGAGGUGUUAAGUGUCAAGGGCUGGGUUUGCCUCUGAUGAGUACAAUCAGUUCCAGAAGACUGGGUAAGUCUCUUGCUAGCAGGUGGACAUUCUGGUAUUUUAGACUGACUUAAUGAAACCCAGAGGCUGGUUCCAGAGCUCUGUCCCUGAGAACACAUCCCUGUGGAAAAUACUUGAGUUUGUAAUUUCUUUUUUUUUUCCCUUUCUGGGAGUGGAGGUCUCAGGCUCAAUCCGGAACCAUGUACGUACAAUUUUGCUUAUUAUUUGGUGUGACAUGAACUCAAAAUCCUGCAUUUUUAGAUUCCUUUUCAUUCUAAUUGAGGCCUCACCAGAUGCUCUUCAGUUCUGUGUAUUUUGAGGCUGGGUGGAGAAAGUAUAUGAUUCCGCUGUUGAUUCUUUCAGUCUUCCCCCCUUCUCCUUUUAUCAUUCCAGAGUUAUUUUCUAUUAAUUAUUAGUCAAACUUUUUUGUAGAACCUUCUUUCCCUUACCCUGGCAAAUUGCUUCUUAACUUGCUGGUUUCCUUACGUUUGGGGCACAUAUUGUAAGAAACUGAUUGGAAGGGGAAAUGUGCAGCUCUCCACUGAAAAGGAACUCUCCACCCCUCCCAUCCUGAUAAACAAGGUUUACAUUUACAACUAAAAGGAUUCAGAUGCAAUUUUCAACUAUUCUGAAACCAGCAGGACACACCUGACUUUAAUAGUUUUAGCUGAAAUUGUAGAUGUUUUUCUUCAGUUUAACUUAUGAGCAAAGAUUAUCUGAUGGAUUUUGUGUUGACUUCCCCUUUAGUGGUUUAUUUUGUCUUUUUCUGCCCAUCAUCUGUCUACUAAUAAAAUGUGA